This 554-nucleotide ribosomal RNA is filed under the name uncultured bacterium. Its description in RNAcentral is "partial 16S ribosomal RNA". It matches the Rfam family "Bacterial small subunit ribosomal RNA", at positions 354 to 895 of the family's 1533-position model. The record is from RNAcentral.
UGGGGGAAUUUUGGACAAUGGGGGAAACCCUGAUCCAGCCAUCCCGCGUGUGCGAUGAAGGCCUUCGGGUUGUAAAGCACUUUUGGCAGGAAAGAAACGUCGCGGGUUAAUACCCCGCGAAACUGACGGUACCUGCAGAAUAAGCACCGGCUAACUACGUGCCAGCAGCCGCGGUAAUACGUAGGGUGCAAGCGUUAAUCGGAAUUACUGGGCGUAAAGCGUGCGCAGGCGGUUCGGAAAGAAAGAUGUGAAAUCCCAGAGCUUAACUUUGGAACUGCAUUUUUAACUACCGGGCUAGAGUGUGUCAGAGGGAGGUGGAAUUCCGCGUGUAGCAGUGAAAUGCGUAGAUAUGCGGAGGAACACCGAUGGCGAAGGCAGCCUCCUGGGAUAACACUGACGCUCAUGCACGAAAGCGUGGGGAGCAAACAGGAUUAGAUACCCUGGUAGUCCACGCCCUAAACGAUGUCAACUAGCUGUUGGGGGCCUUUCGGGGCCUUUGGUAGUGCGCAGCUAACGCGUGAAGUUGACCGCCUGGGGAGUACGGUCGCAAGAUU